Molecule: ribosomal RNA, 278 nt
Filed under: uncultured Octadecabacter sp.
Lineage: Bacteria; Pseudomonadati; Pseudomonadota; Alphaproteobacteria; Rhodobacterales; Roseobacteraceae
Description: partial 16S ribosomal RNA
Rfam family: Bacterial small subunit ribosomal RNA
Source: RNAcentral
AGUGAACGCUGGCGGCAGGCCUAACACAUGCAAGUCGAGCGCUACCUUCGGGUGGAGCGGCGGACGGGUUAGUAACGCGUGGGAAUAUACCCUUCACUAUGGAAUAGCCUCGGGAAACUGAGAGUAAUACCAUAUACGCCCUUCGGGGGAAAGAUUUAUCGGUGAAGGAUUAGCCCGCGUAAGAUUAGAUAGUUGGUGGGGUAAUGGCCUACCAAGUCAAUGACGCCUAACUGGUUUGAGAGGAUGAUCAGUCACACUGGAACUGAGACACGGUCCAG